Molecule: ribosomal RNA, 449 nt
Filed under: uncultured bacterium
Lineage: Bacteria
Description: partial 16S ribosomal RNA
Rfam family: Bacterial small subunit ribosomal RNA
Source: RNAcentral
UCCAGACUCCUACGGGAGGCAGCAGUGGGGGAUAUUGCACAAUGGGGGGAACCCUGAUGCAGCGACGCCGCGUGGGUGAAGGAGCGUUUCGGCGCGUAAAGCCCUAUCGGCAGGGAAGAAGGAGGACGGUACCUGACUAAGAAGCCCCGGCUAACUACGUGCCAGCAGCCGCGGUAAUACGUAGGGGGCAAGCGUUAUCCGGAUUUACUGGGUGUAAAGGGGGCGCAGACGGCAGCGCAAGCCAGGAGUGAAAGCCCGGGGCCCAACCCCGGGACUGCUCUUGGAACUGCGCGGCUGGAGUGCAGGAGGGGCAGGCGGAAUUCCUGGCGUAGCGGUGAAAUGCGUAGAUAUCAGGAGGAACACCGGUGGCGAAGGCGGCCUGCUGGACUGCGACUGACGUUGAGGCCCGAAAGCGUGGGGAGCAAACAGGAUUAGAUACCCCGGUAAGA